This 1476-nucleotide ribosomal RNA is filed under the name Triticum aestivum (bread wheat). RNAcentral's name for it is "partial small subunit ribosomal RNA". The record is from RNAcentral. Lineage: Eukaryota; Viridiplantae; Streptophyta; Magnoliopsida; Poales; Poaceae.
AUGGGGGAGUUGGCGUGGGCGGCGCUGGCGGGGCUUCUGGUGCCGCUGGCCGCGGUGGCGCUGGACGCCGCGGUGCGGGCGGCGCACGCGUGGUACUGGACGGCGUCGCUGGGCGCCGGGCGGCGCGGCAGGCUGCCGCCGGGAGACAUGGGGUGGCCGCUCGUCGGCGGCAUGUGGGCCUUCCUCUGCGCCUUCAAGUCCGGCAGGCCGGACUCCUUCAUCGACUCCUUCGCCCGACGGUUCGGGCGGGCGGGGCUGUACAGGGCGUUCAUGUUCAGCAGCCCGACGAUCAUGGUGACGACGCCGGACGCGUGCAAGCAGGUGCUCAUGGACGACGACACGUUCGUCACCGGCUGGCCCAAGGCCACGGUGGCGCUCAUCGGGCCCAAGUCCUUCAUCAACAUGGGCUACGACGAGCACCGCCGGCUGCGCAAGCUCACGGCGGCGCCCAUCAACGGCUUCGACGCGCUCACCUCCUACCUGGGCUUCAUCGACCACACCGUGGUGACCACGCUCCGGGGCUGGUCGGACCGGGGCUCCGACUUCGAGUUCCUCACGGAGCUGCGCCGGAUGACGUUCCGGAUCAUCGUGCAGAUCUUCAUGGGCGGCGCCGACGAGCGCACGGCGGCCGAGCUGGAGAGCACCUACACGGAGCUCAACUACGGCAUGCGCGCCAUGGCCAUCGACCUACCAGGGUUCGCCUACCACAAGGCCAUCCGCGCGCGCCGCAGGCUCGUGGCGGCGCUGCAGCGCGUGCUCGACGAGCGCCGGGCCAGGGGAGCCAAGACGGCCGGGGUGGACAUGAUGGACCGGCUGAUCGCCGCGGAGGACGAGGGCGGGCGGCGGCUGCAGGACGACGAGAUCAUCGACGUGCUUGUCAUGUACCUGAACGCCGGCCACGAGUCCUCCGGCCACAUCACCAUGUGGGCCACCGUCUUCCUGCAGGAGAACCCCGACAUCCUCGCCAAGGCCAAGGCGGAGCAGGAGGCGAUCAUGAGGAGCAUCCCGCCGGGGCAGAAGGGGCUCACCCUCCGGGACUUCAGGAAGAUGGAGUACCUCUCACAGGUGGUCGACGAGACGCUGCGGUUCGUCAACAUCUCCUUCGUGUCGUUCCGCCAGGCGACCCGCGACGUCUUCGUCAACGGUUAUCUGAUACCCAAGGGGUGGAAGGUGCAGCUGUGGUACAGGAGCGUGCACAUGGACCCUCAGGUGUACCCUGACCCCAAGAAGUUCGACCCUUCAAGAUGGGAGGGCCCGCCGCCGAGGGCCGGAACGUUCCUUCCUUUCGGGCUCGGCACGAGGCUGUGCCCGGGCAACGAUCUCGCCAAGCUUGAGAUCUCUGUCUUCCUCCACCAUUUCCUCCUUGGAUACAAGCUGACAAGGAAAAAUCCAAAUUGCCGGGUGAGGUACCUGCCGCACCCCCGGCCGGUGGACAAUUGCCUGGCCAAGAUCACCAGAGUCUCCUCCUCCCAUUGA